AGUGAACGCUGGCGGUAGGCCUAACACAUGCAAGUCGAACGGCAGCACAGUAAGAUCUUGCUCUUACGGGUGGCGAGUGGCGGACGGGUGAGGAAUACAUCGGAAUCUACUUUUUCGUGGGGGAUAACGUAGGGAAACUUACGCUAAUACCGCAUACGACCUACGGGUGAAAGCAGGGGAGCUUCAGACCUUGCGCGAUUGAAUUAGCCGAUGUCGGAUUAGCUAGUUGGCGGGGUAAAGGCCCACCAAGGCGACGAUCCGUAGCUGGUCUGAGAGGAUGAUCAGCCACACUGGAACUGAGACACGGUCCAGACUCCUACGGGAGGCAGCAGUGGGGAAUAUUGGACAAUGGGCGCAAGCCUGAUCCAGCCAUACCGCGUGGGUGAAGAAGGCCUUCGGGUUGUAAAGCCCUUUUGUUGGGAAAGAAAAGCAGCAGGUUAAUACCCCGCUGUUCUGACGGUACCCAAAGAAUAAGCACCGGCUAACUUCGUG
Molecule: ribosomal RNA, 492 nt
Filed under: uncultured bacterium
Lineage: Bacteria
Description: partial 16S ribosomal RNA
Rfam family: Bacterial small subunit ribosomal RNA
Source: RNAcentral